RNAcentral lists this ribosomal RNA (429 nucleotides) under Chloroflexota bacterium. RNAcentral's name for it is "Chloroflexi bacterium partial 16S ribosomal RNA". It matches the Rfam family "Bacterial small subunit ribosomal RNA", at positions 355 to 776 of the family's 1533-position model. The record is from RNAcentral. Lineage: Bacteria; Bacillati; Chloroflexota.
UGGGGAAUAUUGCACAAUGGGCGCAAGCCUGAUGCAGCCAUGCCGCGUGUGUGAAGAAGGCCUUCGGGUUGUAAAGCACUUUCAGCGGGGAGGAAGGCGAUAAGGUUAAUAACCUUGUCGAUUGACGUUACCCGCAGAAGAAGCACCGGCUAACUCCGUGCCAGCAGCCGCGGUAAUACGGAGGGUGCAAGCGUUAAUCGGAAUUACUGGGCGUAAAGCGCACGCAGGCGGUCUGUCAAGUCGGAUGUGAAAUCCCCGGGCUCAACCUGGGAACUGCAUUCGAAACUGGCAGGCUAGAGGCUUGUAGAGGGGGGUAGAAUUCCAGGGGUAGCGGUGAAAUGCAUAGAGAUCUGGAGGAAUACCGGUGGCGAAGGCGGCCCCCUGGACAAAGACUGACGCUCAGGUGCGAAAGCGUGGGGAGCAAACAGG